AGUGAACGCUGGCGGUAGGCCUAACACAUGCAAGUCGAACGGCAGCACAGUAAGAGCUUGCUCUUACGGGUGGCGAGUGGCGGACGGGUGAGGAAUACAUCGGAAUCUACUUUUUCGUGGGGGAUAACGUAGGGAAACUUACGCUAAUACCGCAUACGACCUACGGGUGAAAGCAGGGGAUCUUCGGACCUUGCGCGAUUGAAUGAGCCGAUGUCGGAGUAGCUAGUUGGCGGGGUAAAGGCCACCAAGGCGACGAUCCGUAGCUGGUCUGAGAGGAUGAUCAGCGACACUGGAACUGAGACACGGUCCAGACUACUACGGGAGGCAGCAGUGGGGAAUAUUGGACAAUAGGCGCGAGCCUGAUCCAGCCAUACCGCGUGGGUGAAGAAGGCCUUCGGGUUGUAAAGCCCUUUUGUUGGGAAAGAAAAGCAGCAGGUUAAUACCCCGCUGUUCUGACGGUACCGAAAGAAUAAGCACCGGCUAACUUCGUG
Molecule: ribosomal RNA, 491 nt
Filed under: uncultured bacterium
Lineage: Bacteria
Description: partial 16S ribosomal RNA
Rfam family: Bacterial small subunit ribosomal RNA
Source: RNAcentral